GAGGGUAUAGCUCUAGUGGUAGGGCACGUGAUUAGCAUGCACAAGUCCUGGGUUCAAUUCCCAGUACCACCU
This 72-nucleotide transfer RNA is filed under the name Camelus bactrianus (Bactrian camel). It matches the Rfam family "tRNA". Rfam says of the family: Transfer RNA (tRNA) molecules are approximately 80 nucleotides in length. Their secondary structure includes four short double-helical elements and three loops (D, anti-codon, and T loops). RNAcentral also lists the same sequence under 2 other names. The record is from Rfam by way of RNAcentral. Lineage: Eukaryota; Metazoa; Chordata; Mammalia; Artiodactyla; Camelidae.